Molecule: ribosomal RNA, 497 nt
Filed under: uncultured bacterium
Lineage: Bacteria
Description: partial 16S ribosomal RNA
Rfam family: Bacterial small subunit ribosomal RNA
Source: RNAcentral
GAUGAACGCUGGCGGCGUGCCUAAUACAUGCAAGUCGAGCGAACGGACGAGAUGCUUGUUUCUUUGAUGUUGGGGGCGGACGGGUGAGUAACACGUGGAUAAAACACCUAUCCGCCUGAGAUAACUUCGGGAAACCGCAGAUAAUACCGGAUAAUAUUUUGAACCGCCUGGUUCAACAGUGAAAGAUGGUAUUGCCGUCACUUAUAGAUGGAUCCGCGCUGCAUUAGCUAGUUGGUAAGGUAACGGCUUACCAAGGCAACGAUGCAUAGCCGACCGGAGAGGUUUAUCGGCCUCCCUGGAGCUGAUACACGACCCAGGCCCCUGCGAGAUGCAGCACUAGGGAAUCUUCCGCGAUGGACUAAAGCCUGACGGGGCCACGCCGCGUGAGUGAUGUAAGUCUUCGCAUCGGGAGACUCUGUUAUUAGGAAAUGUCAUAUGUGUAAGUAACUGUGCACAUCUUGACGGUACCUAAUCAGAAAGCCACGGCUAACUACGUG